This is a small nuclear RNA of Apodemus sylvaticus (European woodmouse), 104 nucleotides long. NCBI's taxonomy places the organism in Eukaryota, Metazoa, Chordata, Mammalia, Rodentia, Muridae. The record is from RefSeq and is a predicted model, not a curated record.
GUUGUCAUUGGCAGCACAUAAACCAAAACUGGAGCAUUACAGAGAGAUUUUCAUAGUCCCUGCCAAAAGAUGACAAGGACAGUUGUGACGCAUUCUGCAUUUCU